Molecule: long non-coding RNA, 2244 nt
Filed under: Hermetia illucens (black soldier fly)
Lineage: Eukaryota; Metazoa; Arthropoda; Insecta; Diptera; Stratiomyidae
Description: uncharacterized LOC119656683, transcript variant X1
Source: RNAcentral
CCGGAUUUUAUCAACAGCAUGAAUAUACUUCAACAAAAGAAAUAAAUUUGGAGUGAAUUUUUCUUUACUGGUUGAAAUUUUUCAUUUCAUUUCGGUCACAAAUACUGCAUUUCGGGAACCAACUGCCUCUUUUAUUAGUGCUCCGCAUUCUGGGAAAGAACUGCCGCCAUCACUGGAACCAACUGUCUACUUUAUUAGUGUGAAGGUACAUUAAUGGAGGAGACAGUUGGUUUCCGAAAUACAGAAUUUGUGAUUUCAAAGAAAAUUUUGGCCAAUAAGGGAAAAUUCUCCCCGAAUUUGUUCCUUCUGUUGAACCACUGGCUAAGAACAAUGCUCCAAAAUCCAACUAUGAUGAUUGUGCUUACUUAAACAGUCAUUGUUAUCAUCAAGAACCUAAAUAGUAUCACGAUUUGCUAAUUCAAAAUGAAUUCAGGACUAAAGUGCGGCACUUUCAAUUGUCCCACGUUGGGCGCCGUUUGUGGCAAAACCCACUCAGCUUUACUAUUGAACGGGGAUCUACCUCCUUUCCAAGGAUGAUGAGGAAGAAGUUGGACAUUGGUCUUUUACAUGACCUAUUCGGCAGACUGGCUUCGUCUUGCUUCGUUGCAGACUAAACUAUUUAAAAGAAUCAAAUUCGACAAGAAUUUUUCUUCCCUCCUUUUGAAGUGAGAUACUGUAUUUCGGGAACCAAGUGGCCUCUUGGACUUCUGUCCAGAAGUCACAAAUACUGUAUUUCGGGAAACAACUGUCAUUCCCAUCAGUAUGCUCCUUCCUCCGCACAGAAGAGAUCAUACUUAUGAAGGAAAAAUUGGUUCCCGAAAUACAGUAUUUGUUAAUUCAAGUAAGAUUCUUAGCCAAUAAAGGAAAAUUCUCUUCGAAUUUGUAUCUUUUUUGUUUAACUAUUGGCUAACAGACGACCUUUAAAUUUUAACUAUAACCUAUAAUGGAGUUUUUGUCCCCAAGUAGAAAUUGGCACUAUCAACGGAUGCAUUUCUUGUGGAUAAGCAUAAUAUCAAAAGGACGAGGAUAGUGUCUUUGAGUCCUGCCAAAUAAGGACGAUAUAGCAGUAGAUACCGCUAGAGUCUAGACCUGGUCACUUGAUUUAACAAAGAACUCCACAUGUUUGGAAGUACACCACCCCACAGUCCGGGAAUUCUCCAAAAUAUGGGCACAUGCAUCUGCACAUACGCAGUCAAUUGAAGUAUUCAUACAACAUUAAGCCAGAUCCAUUUCAAAAUGGUAUUGAAAUUCCUUCAAUUGAACCAUUUGUUUAGUAAACAAUGCACAAAUAUAUACCGUAUACGGAUUGCAAAAUGACAUGUGAAUUAAAAAUGACUGAACGUGAUUUUCGAAAGACAUAAACAAACUUUUAGCCGGCAAGAUACAAUACGGUACAAUAUGCAUUUUAUUAAGUAUCUGAUUUUAUUUUCAUUGUGCAGUAAUUCGAUAUGAUGAAAUUACGUGUAAAGACAAUUGUACAUAUACGAUUUGAUACAUAGGCUAGACGCUAGGCUCGUAGAUGUAUAGGUAUAGAUACAAUAUAUAGAUGGCUCGUGAAGUACUUUUCUAUGGCAUAAAUACUAGUAACUGACCUUUGUGAAUUUUCUCCGAUUAAGUAUUGUACAAUGUGUAAUUCAAAGAAAAAACUUGACCUUUAUAAAGGUGGGCAUUGCUGAAAUGGAUACACAUCCACGCAUUACCUAAAUGCAAGUAUGUUUGUAGCAAUGUGCGUACAAUAUGGAAUAUAGGCAACCAUUUUGAUAUUUGUACGGGCAAUUAAUAGAAUGAAUUCAAAUUAACUAGAAAAAGAAGUUCAAGCAGUGAGAACUUUUUUGGUCGCAAUUGGAGUAUCUGAAACUUGAACUGCACGAUAUUCUCCUGAUUCCAAGAGAGAACAAUGUUUUAGAAAUAAUUUUCUAAUUAAAUUUUUUAAAAUUUUAAUAAUUGUGGAUUCAGAUAGGUUAUGAAGGUCCUGGGGGUUAACGUGAGUAUCUGCCGUGUAGGUAUUAGGUUGUUGCACAUGAAAUGGCCGAUGUGGCAAUUAAGUGAUGCUAGUUGCGAUUUUGCUGUAUCAAAUCAUCACCAGUUAGCGCUGUUGGUCUCGAAUAAUGAUGUAUAAAUACUCUUACAUUUAAUCAAGGAGUCAUUUCAGUUUUGACCAUCGUUGUGAAAACAGUGAAUAAAAAGGAAAAAAGGAUGGAAAAGGGCCAAGAACGUAUACUUUUCCUGUAUGAGUUCAAACUC